CAUCUCACCCAACCCCUUCUCUCAGACGAGCUAUGAAUCCUAGCUGCCGCCCAAGAAUUCCUACCGCCAUCUCCGACGGCCAACUUCCAAUUUGAACUAAAAUAAUGCCACAGCCCCUCCUUUUCCUCUUCAUCUCGAAUCCACAACCAGUUUCCCUCAAAGCCUACCCAAAUCCCUUGAAUCUUGAUUUGAAACCAUGAACUCUAGCACUGCCAAUAUCCCCGAUGGAGGUGCCACCCUAAUCCUAAAUCCACACUCAACUUCUCUAAAAUACCCCCAAAAACCUUUCGAAUUUUAAAUAUAGGGUUCCAGAAGUCUGAGUCCUAAAUUGAGGCAUGAGGGUCUAUUUUGAGUUUUGGUUGGUUUCGUC
This 370-nucleotide long non-coding RNA is filed under the name Nicotiana benthamiana. RNAcentral's name for it is "long non-coding RNA (NBEN_LNC008750)". Lineage: Eukaryota; Viridiplantae; Streptophyta; Magnoliopsida; Solanales; Solanaceae. The record is from RNAcentral.